AUGAUCCGAAAGUUUUGGUGGGGAAGUAAGAAGGGUAAGAUGAAGGUGGCAUGGGUUUCCUGGGAUGUAAUGACAAGGCCAAAAGAUUUGGGAGGCCUUGGUUUUAGAGAUCUAGAACUAUUGAACAUGUCUCUUCUUGCCAGACAGGUUUGGAGGAUUUUACAAGACCCCAACACUCUAAGUGCGGGAAUUUUGAAAGUUGACUAUUUCCCUAAUAAUUCAAUUCUAAAUUCCACUUUGGGGACCCAUCCCUCGUAGAUAUGGAGGUCAAUUCUAGAAGGGCGAUAUGUCUUACCUCAGGGGCUGAUUAGGCGGAUUGGUGAUGAACGGACAACAGAAAUAUGGGGUCACAAUUGGCUUCUGAGAGAAGGGAGUAUGAGACCAAUCACCAUAGCUCUGGCAAGUAACUUAUUUUAUGUGAGCGGUCUCAUUGAGGCCUCAUCUGCUUCUUGGAAGGAGGACUUGAUCCGAGGAGUGUUCCUACCAAUGAAUGUUGCAAUCAUACUCAGUAUUCCCCUAUGUACAAGGAACGUCCAAGACUUCUCGUCGUGGGCAUGUGAAAAGAAGGGAACAUUCUCAGUCAGGUCUACAUAUCGUAUGAUGAUCAGUACGAGAAUUAGAAGAGAGAAUUGGCUUUACAAUGUUGGCCCAUCUACAUCGGCAUCCCAGACAAAAGAUUGGGCAAACUUAUGGGGAGUGUAG
RNAcentral lists this ribosomal RNA (702 nucleotides) under Triticum aestivum (bread wheat). RNAcentral's name for it is "partial small subunit ribosomal RNA". Lineage: Eukaryota; Viridiplantae; Streptophyta; Magnoliopsida; Poales; Poaceae. The record is from RNAcentral.